Molecule: non-coding RNA, 950 nt
Organism: Peromyscus maniculatus bairdii (prairie deer mouse)
Lineage: Eukaryota; Metazoa; Chordata; Mammalia; Rodentia; Cricetidae
Source: RefSeq, a predicted model, not a curated record
AUCCUCCUCUUGAACCAAUGAGGUUGCAUAGUAUCACUGUCUAAACGAGAGAAGGGGCACCCUCUGGGCUGGAAGCAUCAUGAAUUUAAAGAGGUCUACAGACACCUUUAGAUCUCUCAGAGAAUACCACAAUGUCUGACUCACCAGGGAAAGAGUUCAUCGUUUCAGGGAAGCACAGCUACAGAAGUAGUAAGACGAAAGAUCAUAUUCUAAACUCAAACAUGAAGCAGAGAGAGCCAACUGGAAGCAGGAUUAGAACACUGUCUGAAGAAAUCAGAUGAAUUACUCAAGGCAACACAAUUGAUUAUUGACACCCAUUCAAUUAAAACUUGAGCCUCCAGCCUUGUCAACCUAAUGUGCCCAUCAUUUCACAAGCACCUUGCCUGUAAUAGACUGAGUCCCAUAGUAAGCACCUGGAUUGUCAAGAACUUCUGAAGAGAGAACCAGAAAGCAGAUUUUGGAGGGAGAUGGAAAAGAUGAAAGUGCUUAGAAAUAUAACUUAGCAUGCAGCUGAUAUAGAGGUGUCAAUUUUAGCUGUAGUAUUUAGUGUGUUGUUAUUCUUGAUUGCUUAGAUCUGGAAUCAACUAAGUGACCAGCCUCUUGGUGAAUCUGUGAACAAAUUUCUAGGAAAGAUCAACAGAGCAGAGAACAGAAGACCCUCCACCAGAAUGGGUAGCACCUGUGGUAACCCAUCUAGAAAGAUGUCAGAGGAAAAAGCUAUUCAGGUCGCCUGCCCACCUUCACUUCUUGCUGAAUAUAUCAACUCAGUGUUGCUCUUGUUCUUAUCAUUCACUGAAAACAGAGUCCACCUCCUUCAGCCUUCUGAGAUUCACCAAUGGAUCUCCAGUCAUCCUCCAGGCCUUCAGCACCAGUUUAGGGCUGCUAAGGCAUACAGCUUUGUGGACUGAGCAGCUACUGCGUUUUCAGGCUUUCUAAUGUACAGGUAACCA